CCUACGGGCGGCAGCAGUGGGGAAUAUUGCGCAAUGGGCGAAAGCCUGACGCAGCGAAGCCGCGUGAGGGAUGAAGGUCUUCGGAUCGUAAACCUCUGUCAGCAGGGAAGAACGGUCACUGUGCUAAUCAGCAGUGAAUUGACGGUACCUGCAAAGGAAGCACAGGCUAACUCCGUGCCAGCAGCCGCGGUAAUACGGAGGGUGCGAGCGUUAAUCGGAAUUACUGGGCGUAAAGCGCUCGUAGGCGGUAUGUCAAGUCAAGGGGGAAAUCCCCGCGCGCAACGUGGGAACUGCCUUUGAAACUGGCAAACUGGAGUGUGUGAGAAGAUAGUGGAAUUCCAGGUGUAGGAGUGAAAUCCGUAGAUAUCUGGAGGAACAUCAGUUGCGAAGGCGACUAUCUGGCACAUAACUGACGCUGAGGAGCGAAAGCGUGGGUAGCAAACAGGAUUAGAUACCCCUGUAGUC
RNAcentral lists this ribosomal RNA (465 nucleotides) under uncultured bacterium. RNAcentral's name for it is "partial 16S ribosomal RNA". It matches the Rfam family "Bacterial small subunit ribosomal RNA", at positions 338 to 795 of the family's 1533-position model. The record is from RNAcentral.